This is an RNA transcript of Lolium rigidum, 1138 nucleotides long. RefSeq lists it as uncharacterized. The record is from RefSeq and is a predicted model, not a curated record. The transcript is spliced from 7 exons. Lineage: Eukaryota; Viridiplantae; Streptophyta; Magnoliopsida; Poales; Poaceae.
AGUGGGACCUCUGGGGCGACGGUAGCAGCGGCUCCCAUGUCCAAGCAUGCCAGAUUGAUGCGGAGCUCCAAUCGUAACCAUGCUCGGUGCUUAGGGCACUUUGCUUCUAAUCAAAGGAAAAGGAAGGAGUGGUGUACCUGCCUGUUCUUGGGAAUUUGCUGUUCUUGAUGUCAUUCCUAACCAGGAAAAUGUGGUUGUGGAUGCAAAUGAUGAAAUUAUUAAACUCUAGGUCUUUCACUCAUGCAAACUUUACAGUGGCCUGGACAACUCGGAUAAGACAGUAAUUAUGCUCAAGAUAGAUGGAGACAACAUUAGUUGCUGGUGUUUAUCAAAGGGCAGUUGCUGGUGGAAUUAAAGGUUUAGAAAGCCCAUGUACUGACUGGUUAUGUAUGUGCAUCCCACAUAUUCUGAAAAUGCGUUUUUGGCUCAUUUGUCGCCAGCAAGAUCUCCAUUCUUCUUGUACAGAAAUUGAAGAACAAAGGUAGCGAUAACCAAUGGGAAACCUGCAUCCUGGUCUGGAGCAUAACCUCCUGUAGGUGGAGUGCAGCUGACUGGUGGAGUGCAAUUGAGAUCCAACAAAGGUGGAGUGCAAUUGAGGGUUGUUUGGCUGGAGCCGGAGACGAACAUGGCGGAGGCGAGCAGCAACAAUUAGUCAGCGGCAGGAGCCUGGAGCAACUGGAGCGGAGCUGUGCGUGCUGGAGAUCGAGGCGAUCCGGGCGUCCUGGGCAGCGAGGAAGAGGAUCGAGCGGAUCUGCGCGUUCUGGGGAUCCUGGCGACCUGGGGAUCGAGGGGACCAAGGGAUGAGGGCAGCGAUAACCUGGGGAGAAGCAGCGCCCAGGUCUGGGAGGCCAGGAUGAGCGACCUGGGGAGGGGGAGAAGCAGCGCCCAGGUCUAGAGGCCAGGAGGAGUAUGUGUUUGUACUGUUUUUCUUAAGAAGAGACGGGCUAAUUUUAGAGUGAAAACCAGGUUCCAAGUAGCCUAAAGAAGUUGCAUCCUUGUUGAAUUAGUUAGAUACACCGCAUAAGAGUCGUGUAUGCAGGUAGAUACGCAGGUGGGAUUGUGGGAACACAAAAAGUAAACUGGUAGGACGUGUUUCGUAGCUUGCGGGAGGCUCAACCUGCUCCCACGGAGACUAAAA